RNAcentral lists this long non-coding RNA (1175 nucleotides) under Felis catus (domestic cat). RNAcentral's name for it is "lncRNA (ENSFCAG00000048565.1)". Lineage: Eukaryota; Metazoa; Chordata; Mammalia; Carnivora; Felidae. The record is from RNAcentral.
GGGGCUCCUCAGGAAGCGCAGGCGCCGGCUGGGUGGACGUGCGCCCCCGCCCCUAGGGCCCCGGCCCCCGGGGUACUGAGCGCUCCUCCCGAGUCCUCGGAACGACCGAGUAGCUCCGCUUAACGCAGCCCCCAGGAAGGAUGCUUGGGCUGAGCCCGAAGUCCGGGGCUGGGAGCUGCGCCGGGCUGCCGGCGCGGUUCUGGCCCCGGAGCGCCCGGCCCGGGGUGGGAGGGCGCACCCCGCCCUCUGCGCCCGCCACCCACUCCCGCUCGCGGAAAACAACAGGAGCCGGACUCCCUCCCGCCUCCCUUCCAGGCGGGAGCCCAACUUCCUCUACCUUGGCCGGGGAGGAGGGCUUUAUGCAAAGGGCGCGCGCCCGGGCGCGCCGAGCCGAGUCCGGCCCGGUCGGGGGUGGAGCGCGGAGGCCGGUCCCUCCCCGAGCCCACUGCGCCCGGGACGGCAGCCUGGAGUCGCGGGGACCGCUGGGCCGUGCAGAGCCCUGCGGCUGCCGCAGGACGGCACCCCGGUCCCCGGCCCCCGGCCCGCCGGGCGCUCCGGCUGCAGCACCCGGAGAGGCGGGCCGCCCGGCUGCAGGAUUCAGGGUCCCCUCGGCGUCCCAGCUUAGCUCUUCCAGGGUGCUCCCGUGCUCUCCUGUGCUCCGGCGGACGCCAGGACCGCCAUGGCUGUCCCCGCCUACCCUUUGCAGAACGAAGGCUGUCACUGUGACGUCACUACACUGUAUCUACAAUCAGCUCUGCCGAGAGCCAGUACCCCUGGAAGACGCCACUUUCCCCCAGUGACACAACGUCAGACUUCUGGCUGGAUUUCCCAGGAGCCAAACAGAUGACUCGGGUAGAAAAGACUCUUUGAUCGGUCUCUUGUUCUUUGAUCUCACACUCACCGAUUGAAUGCCAUUUGUUGGCCAAAAUCAAUGUGAUGUUCCUAACUUCCAAUUGGGACAUGUAGAUUCAUGGCUGCAAGUAUAUUUAAUUUGUGGCAAUAGAAGAACUUAGUAAACUCAGGGUUUCCAGAGAAAACUUGGACGAAACAUUUUUCCAAAGUUGACAUACCUGUUUCUUAGAUGGCAUUUGCUUUUUCCUGAUUAUAAGCCUGUCCGUCUCAUCAUGGAACAACGAGAAACAGAAAAAUAGGAAAUAAAAUGUAACUAUGACCCA